GACGAACGUUGGCGGCGUGCUUAAUACAUGCAAGUCAACUGAAGCAGUGGUAGCAAUAUCGCUGUGGAGGUGGCGCACGGGUGAGUAACACGUAGGUAAUCUGCCUUCAGGUCUGGCAUAACUCCGGGAAACCGGGGCUAAUAGCAGAUGAUGCAGCGGCUCGACAUCGAGACAGUUGUUAAAGCUAUGGCGCCUGAAGAUGAGCCUGCGUCUGAUUAGCUAGUUGGCGGGGUAACGGCCCACCAAGGCAACGAUCAGUAGCUGGUCUGAGAGGAUGAUCAGCCACACUGGAACUGAGACACGGUCCAGACUCCUACGGGAGGCAGCAGUAAGGAAUACUGCUCAAUGGGAGAAAUCCUGAAGCAGCAACGCCGCGUGAGGGACGAAGGGCUUUUGCUUGUAAACCUCUGUAGUGAGAGAAAAAAAUCCCAAUCUUUGGGACAUGAUGGUAUCUCAAAAGUAAGCCCCGGCUAACUACGUG
RNAcentral lists this ribosomal RNA (481 nucleotides) under uncultured bacterium. RNAcentral describes it as "partial 16S ribosomal RNA". It matches the Rfam family "Bacterial small subunit ribosomal RNA", at positions 28 to 507 of the family's 1533-position model. The record is from RNAcentral.